CCUAAGUUAGUUCUUUGACAAUAGAGAAUCCUGGUGUGAAAUGGCUCCUCAAUUCCUUUUGUUGAAUCUGGCCACAUUUCCUCAAGUAUUUUUGAAUGACUUUUGGAUCAUGAUUCCAAAUGAACUCCUGGGAUUGGUUACCCACCAUUUCAGAACUCUGCUACAACUGUAAGGUUUGUCCCUUUAGUUAUGGUAAAGUACUCCAACAAGGGUUUGCAGAAAAAAAUACAGUCAUGAAAAUAAGCUAGACAGAGCCAGAUACCAUAUCGAUUGAAAAGGGUCAACUGAAACUGGAAGGAACUAAGGAAAGUUGAAUCUAAAUUGCAGCACUGUGAGAGAAGGAAUCAUGUUUGGAAGAAUCCUACAAGUUGUUGGAAGGAAUCAUUACCAUGGGAAUACUCAGGCAGGUGGGACUGCAGACAGCUUUGACCCAGAAUUGAACCCAUCAUUUUAAUUAAGGAAAAACAGUACACUUAAGUCUGUCCUUAAUCCUCUUUCCUCAGAAUCUCAGAAAAUAGCCAUGAAGAAACUAGGAGAAAGUGAGUGAACAGAAGAUUAAAGGAGCAUCAGACAGUGAGCAGCACGUUGGUAGAAAUUCAGAUACCAUCUUCCCCUCAACAAAAUUAUACUUGGGACUCUGGAAGAAUGUAUUGUGAUGAAUAUUGUAAGAAAAAUACCCUAACUGCCAGAAUCAUAUAAAUCAGACCUUGUUGCUAUAGAUGUAAUAUGGUUUAUAGGAGACAUGAACUAGGAAGAAAUUAGAUGCCCAAGUUCCAAAACCCUGAAAGGAGGGCUGAAUGGACUCCCUGGACCAUCUACCUUUGGAACUUACCAUACUGUGCACACUGAAUCAAUAUUCUAAAAUUCAUCUUUGGCAAGAAUUGCAUGCCCUGAAUACAAGCCAUUCCCCAGUUGAUCAAUAGUCAAAGGAUAUGAACAGGCUGUUUUCAGAUGAAGAAAUCAAAGAUAUCUAUAGGCAUAGAAAGAAGUGCUCUAAAUCUUUUGAUUUGAGAUAUGCAAAGUAAAGUAACUCUGAAAUACCACCUCAGACCAAACAGAGUGUCUAAUAUGACAAAAAAGGUGAAUGAUAAAUGAUAAAGAAACAACAGAUAAAUCCUAAAUAAUGAGGAGCAGGAAGGUGACCCAGAUGGUCCCAGGUAAAAAGGAUUCAAUAUUUAUGAUUUUCACUGAG
Molecule: long non-coding RNA, 1192 nt
Filed under: Vombatus ursinus (common wombat)
Lineage: Eukaryota; Metazoa; Chordata; Mammalia; Diprotodontia; Vombatidae
Description: lncRNA (ENSVURG00010001890.1)
Source: RNAcentral